This 273-nucleotide long non-coding RNA is filed under the name Chinchilla lanigera (long-tailed chinchilla). Its description in RNAcentral is "lncRNA (ENSCLAG00000023777.1)". The record is from RNAcentral. Lineage: Eukaryota; Metazoa; Chordata; Mammalia; Rodentia; Chinchillidae.
UUAGUUUUCAAAACAUUUUCCUUGUCAUCCUGCCUCAACUGAAAUUAUUGUUCUUAUGAAAAUCUUCCCAUUAGCAUCACUGAGGGGACGUCAGGAAGGUGUCUAAUGAGUUUCUACAUAUUAGAAAUGACAAGAGAAUCUGUCAGAGGAGUAAUUCCAGCAACUGUAGCAUAUGGAGACAUUGUGUUCAGGCCCCUUUGCCAUGAUUUCUGGGCAGAGCAGCAGGAAGACCUGGCAGUCGAGACCAUCCACCACUGUUUGUUGAAAGAUUGA